RNAcentral lists this ribosomal RNA (258 nucleotides) under uncultured bacterium. RNAcentral describes it as "partial 16S ribosomal RNA". It matches the Rfam family "Bacterial small subunit ribosomal RNA", at positions 524 to 781 of the family's 1533-position model. The record is from RNAcentral.
UACGAAGGGGGCUAGCGUUGCUCGGAAUCACUGGGCGUAAAGGGCGCGUAGGCGGCUUGCCAAGUCGGGGGUGAAAGCCCGGGGCUCAACCUCGGAUCGGCCGUGGCGACUCGUGGGCUGGAGCACUGUAGAGGCGGGUGGAAUUCCGGGUGUAGCGGUGGAAUGCGUAGAGAUCCGGAAGAACACCAGUGGCGAAGGCGGCCCGCUGGGCAGCGGCUGACGCUGAGGCGCGACAGCGUGGGGAGCAAACAGGAUUAG